GCUCAGGAUGAACGCUGGCGGCGUGCCUAAUACAUGCAAGUCGAGCGAACAGAUAAGGAGCUUGCUCCUUUGACGUUAGCGGCGGACGGGUGAGUAACACGUGGGUAACCUACCUAUAAGACUGGAAUAACUCCGGGAAACCGGGGCUAAUGCCGGAUAACAUGUUGAACCGCAUGGUUCUACAGUGAAAGACGGUCUUGCUGUCACUUAUAGAUGGACCCGCGCCGUAUUAGCUAGUUGGUGGGGUAACGGCCUACCAAGGCGACGAUACGUAGCCGACCUGAGAGGGUGAUCGGCCACACUGGAACUGAGACACGGUCCAGACUCCUACGGGAGGCAGCAGUAGGGAAUCUUCCGCAAUGGGCGAAAGCCUGACGGAGCAACGCCGCGUGAGUGAUGAAGGUCUUCGGAUCGUAAAGCUCUGUUGUUAGGGAAGAACAAAUGUGUAAGUAACUGUGCACAUCUGACGGUAC
This 473-nucleotide ribosomal RNA is filed under the name uncultured Staphylococcus sp. RNAcentral's name for it is "bacterial SSU rRNA". It matches the Rfam family "Bacterial small subunit ribosomal RNA", at positions 22 to 478 of the family's 1533-position model. The record is from RNAcentral. Lineage: Bacteria; Bacillati; Bacillota; Bacilli; Caryophanales; Staphylococcaceae.